This is a long non-coding RNA of Alnus glutinosa, 578 nucleotides long. RefSeq lists it as uncharacterized. The record is from RefSeq and is a predicted model, not a curated record. The transcript is spliced from 3 exons. NCBI's taxonomy places the organism in Eukaryota, Viridiplantae, Streptophyta, Magnoliopsida, Fagales, Betulaceae.
GCCGUCCUCGUAUUCGUUCUGUACCAAGAAACACGACUCCACCGAUCGAAUCUCUUUUCUUUAUAUAUAAAACCUAAUCUCUCAAUUCUUUUCUUCAUCUUCAUCUUCAUCUUCUCUUAAUAUCUUUCUUUCUUACAAAGAUAUACACAUAUAUAUCUUUUGUUGGUUUUUGAAGAGCUUUCAAAGAUGAGUUCAAGUCAGCCUUCAGCGGCAUAUCCUCCAAGUUCACAAGGUCCUUAUGUAGUGCCUCCACCACCGGUAGGGUAUCCUACAAAGGAUGGCUCCGGCUACUCUCAUGGUCAGAAUCCUCCUCCUCCGGUGGUAACCAAGUCUAGGGGCGAUGGCUUCUGGAAGGGAUGUUGUGCUGCCUUGUGUUGCUGCUGUGUCCUGGAGGAGUGCUGCUGAUCAUCGAUAGAAUUCCAGAGACCGUUGUUAUUGAUUUUCAUACGGAAUUUGGAUUCUUUCUAUAUAUGUAAAUUGAAAGUCGACCAUCUGAUUGGCCUUGACUUCAUUUUCUUCUUGUUUUUUAUUUUUAUUUUGACACCACUAUUUAUUUUCAGAGGUUGGUUUCUUCUCCU